Molecule: small RNA, 92 nt
Filed under: Arabidopsis thaliana (thale cress)
Lineage: Eukaryota; Viridiplantae; Streptophyta; Magnoliopsida; Brassicales; Brassicaceae
Description: ATSL173580
Source: RNAcentral
AAAAAGAAAUUAAUAACAAGAUGACAUGUGGAAGAGAGAGAAGGUUUCUUAUUUCAAAAACGAUUCUGAGAAAAACUAAUUAAAAAAUAUUA